AACGCACAUUGCGCCCCCUGGCAUUCCGGGGGGCAUGCCUGUCCGAGCGUCAUUGCUAACCCUCCAGCCCGGCUGGUGUGUUGGGUCGACGUCCCCCCCGGGGGACGGGCCCGAAAGGCAGCGGCGGCGCCGCGUCCGAUCCUCGAGCGUAUGGGGCUUUGUCACGCGCUCUGGUAGGGUCGGCCGGCUGGCCAGCCAGCGACCUCACGGUCACCUAUUUUUUCUCUUAGGUUGACCUCGGAUCAGGUAGGGAUACCCGCUGAACUUAA
Molecule: unclassified non-coding RNA, 269 nt
Filed under: uncultured fungus
Lineage: Eukaryota; Fungi
Description: partial contains 5.8S ribosomal RNA, internal transcribed spacer 2, and large subunit ribosomal RNA
Source: RNAcentral